This 499-nucleotide ribosomal RNA is filed under the name uncultured bacterium. RNAcentral describes it as "bacterial SSU rRNA". It matches the Rfam family "Bacterial small subunit ribosomal RNA", at positions 29 to 507 of the family's 1533-position model. The record is from RNAcentral.
ACGAACGCUGGCGGCGUGCCUAAUACAUGCAAGUCGAGCGGAAUGAUGAAGAAGCUUGCUUCUUCUGAUUUUAGCGGCGGACGGGUGAGUAACACGUGGGCAACCUACCUUGUAGAUUGGGAUAACUCCGGGAAACCGGGGCUAAUACCGAAUAAUCCAUUUUGCUUCAUGGCGAGAUGUUAAAAGGCGGCUUCGGCUGUCACUACGAGAUGGGCCCGCGGCGCAUUAGCUAGUUGGUAGGGUAAUGGCCUACCAAGGCGACGAUGCGUAGCCGACCUGAGAGGGUGAUCGGCCACACUGGGACUGAGACACGGCCCAGACUCCUACGGGAGGCAGCAGUGGGGAAUCUUAGACAAUGGGCGCAAGUCUGAUGGAGCAACGCCGCGUGAGUGAAGAAGGUUUUCGGAUCGUAAAACUCUGUUGUAAGGGAAGAACACGUACGAGAGUAACUGCUCGUACCUUGACGGUACCUUAUUAGAAAGCCACGGCUAACUACGUG